GGAGCUGACACGAGAGGACACGAUCGGAAAGGGAACAAAUUAAACUCUGAACCAGGUGAGUGUUAGAACACAGAAAAGUCUCAUGGUGACAAGAUUUGAUCAGGAAAUAAAAACCAGAGGAGACACAGAUUCAGGGAGGAGCUGAGCUGCGACUGAAGAGCAGACGAGACAGAGAAACCUCCACAUUCAACACAGAAGAUUCAGUCCAACAUGUUGUUGUUGGGCUGUUAUGAAACUUCUCUGUUAAUCAUCAUGAUUCUAACAGGUGUCAGCUGUCAACAACUCACUGCCAGCAAAGCUGAAGAGUCCAGUUUGGAAGGCAGCACAGCUACUCUGUCCUACAGAUACUCCAGACAAGCAACUGGAGGUGAUCAGUUCUACUGGUAUCGACAAUAUCCUGGAAAACCACCAGAGUUCCUGACCUUUAACUUGGGAACACAAAACACAACAAAUUCCAAACUUUCUGUCAGAAUGGUCGAUGACAGAAAUGGUCUGAACCUUCAGAUCUCCUCUGCUGCAGUGUCUGACUCUGCUGUGUACUACUGUGCUGUGAGGCCCACAGUGACAGGAA
Non-coding RNA from Maylandia zebra (zebra mbuna), 571 nucleotides. The record is from RefSeq and is a predicted model, not a curated record. Lineage: Eukaryota; Metazoa; Chordata; Actinopteri; Cichliformes; Cichlidae.